GUCCCUUCGAGGAUAUCCGAUAAAAUAGGAACAAUAAAGAGAAGAUUAGCUUGGCCCCUGCGCAAGGAUGACACGCACAAAGCGAGAAAUGGUCUAAUUUUUU
This is a non-coding RNA of Triticum aestivum (bread wheat), 103 nucleotides long. The record is from Rfam. NCBI's taxonomy places the organism in Eukaryota, Viridiplantae, Streptophyta, Magnoliopsida, Poales, Poaceae.